CUUCGGCCCGAGUUGUAAUUUGUAGAGGAUGUUUAUGGUGCGGUACCUUCCGAGUUCCCUGGAACGGGACGCCACAGAGGGUGAGAGCCCCGUCUGGUUGGAUACCAAACCUGUGUUAAACUCCUUCAACGAGUCGAGUAGUUUGGGAAUGCUGCUCUAAAUGGGAGGUAAAUCUCUUCUAAAGCUAAAUACCGGCCAGAGACCGAUAGCGCACAAGUAGAGUGAUCGAAAGAUGAAAAGCACCUUGAAAAGGGGGUUAAACAGUACGUGAAAUUGUUGAAAGGGAAGCGUUUAUGACCAGACUUGUGCCGUGUGGCUCAUCCGAGGUUCUCCCCGGUGCACUCCACACGGUUCAGGCCAACAUCGGUUUUCGCUGGGGGAUAAGAACAGUAGGAACGUAGCUCCCCUCGGGGAGUGUUAUAGCCUAUUGUACGAUACCCUGGCGGGGACCGAGGACCGCGCUUCGGCUAGGAUGUUGGCGUAAUGGUCAUUAGCGACCCGUCUUGAAACACGGACCAAGGAGUCGUCCAUUAGAGCGAGCGUUUGGGUGUAAAACCCGCACGCGUAAUGAAAGUGAAAUUAGGUGAGAGCUUCGGCGCAUCAUCGACCGAUCCUGAAGUUUACGGAUGGAUUUGAGUAAGAGUUUUAACGGACGGACCCGAAAGACAGUGAACUAUGCUUGAAUAGGGUGAAGCCAGAGGAAACUCUGGUGGAGGCUCGCAGCGGUUCUGACGUGCAAAUCGAUCGUCAAAUUUGAGCAUGGGGGCGAAAGACUAAUCGAACUGUCUAGUAGCUGGUUACCGCCGAAGUUCCCCUCAGGAUAGCAGUGUUGACCUUCAGUUUUAUGAGGUAAAGCGAAUGAUUAGGGACUCGGGGGCGCUUAUUAGCCUUCAUCCAUUCUCAAACUUUAAAUAUGUAAGAAGCCCUUGUUACUUAAUUGAACGUGGGCAUUCGAAUGUACCAACACUAGUGGGCCAUUUUUGGUAAGCAGAACUGGCGAUGCGGGAUGAACCGAACGGGGGGUUAAGGCGCCAGAAUGUACGCUCAUCAGACACCACAAAAGGCGUUAGUACAUCUUGACAGCAGGACGGUGGCCAUGGAAGUCGGAAUCCGCUAAGGACUGUGUAACAACUCACCUGCCGAAUGUACUAGCCCUGAAAAUGGAUGGCGCUCAAGCGUACUGCCCAUACCCCCCCUUCAGGGUAGAAACGAUGCC
RNAcentral lists this ribosomal RNA (1216 nucleotides) under Ophiognomonia intermedia. RNAcentral describes it as "eukaryotic LSU rRNA". It matches the Rfam family "Eukaryotic large subunit ribosomal RNA", at positions 131 to 1373 of the family's 3401-position model. The record is from RNAcentral. Lineage: Eukaryota; Fungi; Ascomycota; Sordariomycetes; Diaporthales; Gnomoniaceae.